Molecule: ribosomal RNA, 484 nt
Filed under: uncultured bacterium
Lineage: Bacteria
Description: partial 16S ribosomal RNA
Rfam family: Bacterial small subunit ribosomal RNA
Source: RNAcentral
AUUGAACGCUAGCGGGAUGCUUUACACAUGCAAGUCGAACGGCAGCGCGGACUUCGGUCUGGCGGCGAGUGGCGAACGGGUGAGUAAUGUAUCGGAACGUGCCCAGUAGAGGGGGAUAACUACGCGAAAGCGUAGCUAAUACCGCAUACGCCCUACGGGGGAAAGCAGGGGAUCGUAAGCCCUUGCACUAUUGGAGCGGCCGAUAUCGGAUUAGCUAGUUGGUGAGGUAACGGCUCACCAAGGCGACGAUCCGUAGCUGGUUUGAGAGGACGACCAGCCACACUGGGACUGAGACACGGCCCAGACUCCUACGGGAGGCAGCAGUGGGGAAUUUUGGACAAUGGGGGCAACCCUGAUCCAGCCAUCCCGCGUGUGCGAUGAAGGCCUUCGGGUUGUAAAGCACUUUUGGCAGGGAAGAAACGUCGCUGGCUAAUACCCCGUGGAACUGACGGUACCUGAAGAAUAAGCACCGGCUAACUACGUG